This 132-nucleotide small nucleolar RNA is filed under the name Jaculus jaculus (lesser Egyptian jerboa). Its description in RNAcentral is "Small nucleolar RNA SNORA33 (ENSJJAG00000009848.1)". Lineage: Eukaryota; Metazoa; Chordata; Mammalia; Rodentia; Dipodidae. The record is from RNAcentral.
AAGCCAACAGACUACCCUGUGUAUCUGAACAUGUUUCUGCAGAAAUUUAGAAAAACAACAGCAAUUGUGAUGCCAUGUUAUGAGCCUUAAGGAUGACUGAGGUCGUUAAGUUCCCCCCAAAUGGUUCCAAUA